RNAcentral lists this ribosomal RNA (801 nucleotides) under uncultured bacterium. RNAcentral describes it as "bacterial SSU rRNA". It matches the Rfam family "Bacterial small subunit ribosomal RNA", at positions 62 to 865 of the family's 1533-position model. The record is from RNAcentral.
UCGACGAGCACUUGAGAUUGAAUCUUCGGAUGAGAACUCUUGUGACUGAGUGGCGGACGGGUGAGUAACGCGUGGGUAACCUACCUCAUACAGGGGGAUAACAGUUGGAAACGACCGCUAAUACCGCAUAACCCGCUAGUAUCGCAUGAUACGGACGGAAAAGAUUUAUCGGUAUGAGAUGGACCCGCGUCUGAUUAGCCAGUUGGCAGGGUAACGGCCUACCAAAGCAACGAUCAGUAGCCGGCCUGAGAGGGUGAACGGCCACAUUGGGACUGAGACACGGCCCAAACUCCUACGGGAGGCAGCAGUGGGGAAUAUUGCACAAUGGGGGAAACCCUGAUGCAGCGACGCCGCGUGAGUGAGGAAGUAUUUCGGUAUGUAAAGCUCUAUCAGCAGGGAAGAAAAUGACGGUACCUGACUAAGAAGCCCCGGCUAACUACGUGCCAGCAGCCGCGGUAAUACGUAGGGGGCAAGCGUUAUCCGGAUUUACUGGGUGUAAAGGGAGCGUAGACGGCUAAUCAAGUCAGAAGUGAAAACCCAGGGCUCAACCUUGGGACUGCUUUUGAAACUGAGUAGCUAGAGUGCAGGAGAGGUAAGCGGAAUUCCUAGUGUAGCGGUGAAAUGCGUAGAUAUUAGGAGGAACACCAGUGGCGAAGGCGGCUUACUGGACUGUAACUGACGUUGAGGCUCGAAAGCGUGGGGAGCAAACAGGAUUAGAUACCCUGGUAGUCCACGCCGCAAACGAUGAAUACUAGGUGUCAGGGGGCAAAGCUCUUUGGUGCCGCAGCAAACGCAAUAAGU